RNAcentral lists this ribosomal RNA (589 nucleotides) under uncultured bacterium. RNAcentral describes it as "bacterial SSU rRNA". It matches the Rfam family "Bacterial small subunit ribosomal RNA", at positions 338 to 916 of the family's 1533-position model. The record is from RNAcentral.
CCUACGGGAGGCAGCAGUAGGGAAUCUUCCGCAAUGGACGAAAGUCUGACGGAGCAACGCCGCGUGAACGAUGAAGGCCUUCGGGUCGUAAAGUUCUGUUGUUAGGGAAGAACAAGUGCUAGUUAAAUAAGCUGGCACCUUGACGGUACCUAACCAGAAAGCCACGGCUAACUACGUGCCAGCAGCCGCGGUAAUACGUAGGUGGCAAGCGUUGUCCGGAAUUAUUGGGCGUAAAGCGCGCGCAGGCGGUUUCUUAAGUCUGAUGUGAAAGCCCCCGGCUCAACCGGGGAGGGUCAUUGGAAACUGGGAAACUUGAGUGCAGAAGAGGAAAGUGGAAUUCCAAGUGUAGCGGUGAAAUGCGUAGAGAUUUGGAGGAACACCAGUGGCGAAGGCGACUUUCUGGUCUGUAACUGACGCUGAGGCGCGAAAGCGUGGGGAGCAAACAGGAUUAGAUACCCUGGUAGUCCACGCUGUAAACGAUGAGUGCUAAGUGUUAGAGGGUUUCCGCCCUUUAGUGCUGAAGUUAACGCAUUAAGCACUCCGCCUGGGGGAGUACGGUCGCAAGACUGAAACUCAAAUGAAUUGACGG